This is a non-coding RNA of Triticum aestivum (bread wheat), 135 nucleotides long. The record is from Rfam. Lineage: Eukaryota; Viridiplantae; Streptophyta; Magnoliopsida; Poales; Poaceae.
GAAGUACUCCCUCCGUCCGAGAAUACCUGCCAUCAAAACGGAUAAAAAGAGAUGUAUCUCGAAUUAAAAUACAUUUAGAUACAUUCCUUUUUAUUCAUUUUGAUGACAAGUAUUUCCGGACGGAGGGAGUAGCAA